AACGAACGCUGGCGGCAUGCCUAACACAUGCAAGUCGAACGAGACCUUCGGGUCUAGUGUCACACGGGUACGUAACUCUCGGGAAACUGCCCUCUGGGUCGGAACAACAGUUGGAAACGACUGCUAAUACCGGAUAAUGACUUCGGUCCAAAGAUUUAUCGCCUGAGGAUGAGCCCGCGUCGGAUUAGCUUGUUGGUGAGGUAAAAGUUAACCAAGGCGACGAUCCGUUGCUGGUCUGAGAGGAUGAUCAGCCACACUGGGACUGAGAAACGGCACAGACUCCUACGGGAGGAAGCAGUGGGGAAUAUUGGACAAUGGGCGAAAGCCUGAUCCAGCAAUGCCGCGUGAGUAAUGAAGGCCUGAGGGUUGUAAAGCUCUUUUACCCGGGAUGAUAAUGACAGUACCGGGAGAAUAAGCCCCGGCUAACUCCGUGCCAGCCGCCGCGGUAA
Molecule: ribosomal RNA, 449 nt
Filed under: uncultured bacterium
Lineage: Bacteria
Description: partial 16S ribosomal RNA
Rfam family: Bacterial small subunit ribosomal RNA
Source: RNAcentral